CCUUCAUUCCAUCCUAUGAUAAAAAUACGUCUUUCAUUAGUGCUUGAGUUUGCCUUUCGGUAGUAACACUUCUAGAAGACGUAAACCAAUCCAUAAUGGCUUCGUCCCAGGAACCGUGGCUUCUUGAGCAUGGCAACCUUAAAGGUUUAAGCAAGGAGAUGCGACACGGCCGCACUGCUCACAACAUGUCGUCCUCUUCUCUGCGCAAAAAAUCCGACCUCACUCUCGUUUCCAAGCUUCGAUGUGGAUUGCUUAGAAACUUGUUAACUAAUCUUCAAGAAGUUAUUUUAGGGACAAAACUUUCAGUUCUUUUUCCCGCCAUCCCACUUGCUAUUCUCGCUGAGUGUUAUGGCUUUGGAAGACCAUGGGUUUUCGCUCUGAGCUUACUGGCUCUUACUCCUCUCGCCGAACGAGUCAGCUUUUUGACAGAGCAAAUUGCUUACUACACUGGUCCAACAGUGGGAGGGCUCCUGAAUGCAACAUGUGGCAAUGCUACAGAACUCAUAAUAGCUAUCCUCGCACUGAGCCAACGCAAGAUUGAGGUGGUGAAAUAUUCUCUCUUGGGUUCCAUUCUAUCCAAUCUGCUUCUUGUUCUUGGGACUUCUCUAUUCUGUGGUGGGAUUGCACAUCUUAGACCAGAACAAAAAUAUGAUAGAAAACAAGCUGAUGUAAACAUACUGCUUCUUCUGCUGGCAUUGUUGUGCCACAUGCUGCCAUUGUUGUUCAGAGUUUCCAGUGCCUCCGCUGCUCUCACCGCCAUCCCAACACUCCACUUGUCAAGAGCAAGUAGCUUCGUAAUGCUUCUAGGAUACGUUGCAUACAUUAUCUUCCAAUUAGUGACACACAGACAAUUGUUUGAAGCAUCAGAGGAAUCAGCCGAUGGUGAUGAUAAUGAUGUGAUCUCAGAAGAAGCGCCAGUUAUAGGAUUCUGGAGUGGAAUUGUUUGGCUGGUUGGGAUGACUGCUGUCAUAGCUUUGUUAUCAGAAUUUGUUGUGGGAACAAUUGAGGGUGCUUCUGAUUCUUGGGGCCUUUCAGUCAGCUUCAUUAGCAUUAUCUUGCUACCAAUUGUUGGAAAUGCAGCAGAACAUGCUGGUGCAGUCAUAUUUGCUUUUAAAAACAAGUUGGUGAGUAUAUUACCGAAUAGAAAUAAAUAAUAAUUCCCCUGUUAUUUUUCUUAUAUAUUAUGGUCUUCUUUUGAAGCAUUUUUGGAUUUUUUUCCCCUCCAUGAAAAGAUUUGUUAAAUUUUGGAAUAGGGGCAGCGCAUAUUAUAUUAAUUCAUUUUAAUAUAAACUUGUAUAAAUGAUCGAGUUGUUUAAAAUGACUUAUUUAUCAAAAUGAACAAUUAUUUUUGUAAUUCAAUUAUUUAUAUUUACCCGUUUAUCUUUACUUAUUCCAGACGUAGGAUUUACAUUCCCAACAAGAUUUCCCAAAAAUUUUAAUUAAUAUUCUGGCUAUGAAAUGCAGGAUAUAUCGUUAGGUGUUGCUUUGGGUUCCGCAACUCAAAUUUCUAUGUUUGUGGUAAGAACAGCAGAAACUGAACAACAAUGUCCUUUUCCACCAGAGCUUUUUAGUUCUAAAUUUUGAAAAUUAUGACAUUUUUUGGAUGUGAAUUUCAGGUUCCACUGUGCGUGGUUGUUGCUUGGAUAAUGGGUAUUGAGAUGGAUCUUAAUUUCAAUCUCCUUGAGACUGGCACUCUUGCUCUAGCAAUCAUCGCUACAGCAUUCACUUUACAGGAUGGUACUUCUCAUUACUUGAAAGGAUUGGCUUUGCUGCUUUGCUACUUUGUCAUUGGAGCAUGCUUUUUCGUAUCCAAAGCACCCCUUCGUAAGGACUUGACACCAUUUUUCAAGCUUGCUUAGAACUUUUAAGCGUAAAAUUCAUCCCUUUUCAUCCAUAUUGUAAUCCCAUCUCUUAACAUAAUCUUUAUUUACUCACUCCAGAUCAAGGAAAUGUCACCAAUUUUGGAGUCAAGACAGCACCUGGAGUAGUCCUCACAGCUUAGUGCACGAGUGAGUCCUGAUUCUUCAGUAAAUCCAAACAAUUAUCCAUGUAACUAAAUUUAAUUGUACAUCUACCAAGUGCCUUAAAGAUUUAAUUGUACAUCUAACUUAAUUUAAUUGUGCAUCUAAUGUAAAUGCAGGAUUGAGGCUCUCAUGGUGAGUCCCUAGAUGAGGAUGGUCACAUUCAAAUAUCUAUGACCACUUUGGAUGCAUUUGUUAUUCUUUCAUUUUCAUUCCGCCCCGACGAUGAUGAUCGAUCGAUGGAUGAAUCGCCUGCCGGAAAGCAAGCAUUUUGUGUUUUGUUUGAGAUUAUAUAUAGUAGCCAUGCCUUCUUAGGUAAAAUGGAAGAUUUUAUCACACCAUUGUUGCCUUAUGAAGACAGGCUACCUACUGUAUAUGUCAUGCUGUGUAGAUAUCCUCUCCUAAGUGUUUUUGUAAUUGGGGGUUUGAUUUCUUAUGCCAAUAUAGAGAGGAUUGGCAGAUGACACAAGGGUGGGGUUUUUCUCUACUCUUGUAUUCAAAUAAUCAAUAAAUUUAUUUAGUUUUUGUUUGUGUUUGCAAUACGGCACAAGGGUUUUUUUAAUUUUUCUCCAUCUAUUUUUAUUUAUAUACUUUUUUUUCUUUUUAAACAUUU
RNAcentral lists this unclassified non-coding RNA (2634 nucleotides) under Hevea brasiliensis (rubber tree). Lineage: Eukaryota; Viridiplantae; Streptophyta; Magnoliopsida; Malpighiales; Euphorbiaceae. The record is from RNAcentral.